CGGGGCUUAGGUUGAACGCUUGGCGCGUCUUCUCUGUACGGGUAGUCGGUGCGUUCUCCUCCCGGGCACAGCUCUUAUUAGAGGGAGUUGUACGUACAGUAUAACCGCCAGCCUGCACCGUACAGAUUCAAGUGGAUUACCCUUAAUCACUGCAACUCAAUAUGGAGGGAGAUGCUGACCUGGAGCUGCUGACCUCCCUGCUAGAAGAAAAUGAAGGCGCUGAGAGCAGCUAUUCCGGACGCCCGGACUCCUCCAGCGAGCCGGACGCAUAUGAUGAACUUUUUGAUGGUGAUGAAGCCGGUUCUUAUCAUGAAAGCGACAGUGCUGCUGAAGGGCAGGAUGCUGAAGGGGUGCAAGAAGACUUCACAACAUUGUUUGGAGAUGUUGAUGAU
Molecule: long non-coding RNA, 392 nt
Organism: Bufo bufo (common toad)
Lineage: Eukaryota; Metazoa; Chordata; Amphibia; Anura; Bufonidae
Exons: 3
Source: RefSeq, a predicted model, not a curated record